CCUUCUCUUUCUGGCACCCUUUCUGUGGCAGUGUCCUGUCCCAGACCUUGAGCUUUGGAAUAGAAAAUACAGUUUAUCCUACAUUGUUUAAGAAAUGCUGAAUAAGUAACUGCUUGUGUGUUGGACAAAGAAGGGCAAACUAGAAGUGCCCCUAAUAAGGACAUUAUUCUCUCAAUGAAAAAUUUUUAAAAUGAAAUUAUUAUAUAAUUUUUACAGACUCACAGAAUGGUUUAGGUUGGAAAGGACCUCUGGAAGUCAUCUGGUCCAAACUCCUGCUCAAGCAUGGCCACCCAGCAGGCUACCCAGGAUCAUGUCCAAAGUAUAUACUCUUAUGUUUGGAUGUUCAGUAAGGAAAUCUCAGGCUUAAGAAGAGUAUUGUGACAAAGAUGUAGUUCAGCACUUUUCCAGUAACAAAGGAAACAUGAGCAGUACACACAUAUCAGAUACUUCAGUCUCGUGAGAAGCGGUUUCUGCACGGUUUCCUGGACAGGAUCAAGAACCACUGGAAAUAUUCAGAUAAUUUACUGGAAAUCAUGAAAGCAGACUGUCUGGCAGGUUCUGUUUUGAAUAAACUUUGGAUUGAAAGUGAACUUUUUGGGUGGUGACAUGCUCUUCUGACAACCAGCUCUGUGGCCACUGUCACAUCCCACCAGGACGCUGAAACCGAGUCACUGUGAGG
This 679-nucleotide long non-coding RNA is filed under the name Gallus gallus (chicken). The record is from RNAcentral. Lineage: Eukaryota; Metazoa; Chordata; Aves; Galliformes; Phasianidae.